Molecule: ribosomal RNA, 408 nt
Filed under: uncultured bacterium
Lineage: Bacteria
Description: partial 16S ribosomal RNA
Rfam family: Bacterial small subunit ribosomal RNA
Source: RNAcentral
GACGAACGCUGGCGGCGUGCUUAACACAUGCAAGUCGAACGAUGUGGCGAACGGGUGAGUAACGCGUAAUAACCCUGCCCUUCAGAGGGGGACAACAGUUGGAAACGACUGCUAAUACCGCAUACUGAAGGAGGGGAUUGCGUCUGAUUAGUUCGUUGGAGGGGUAACGGCCCACCAAGGAGAUGAUCAGUAGCCUGUCUGAGAGGAUGAGCAGCCGAAUUGGGACUGAGAAACGGACCAGACGCCUACGGGAGGCAGCCGUGGGGAGUCUUCCGCAAUGAACGAGAGUCUGACGGAGCAACGCCGCGUGAGUGAUGACGGCCUUCGGGUUGUAAAGCACUGUUAAUCGGGACGCGGUACCGGAAUAGAAAGCCACGGCUAACUACGUGCCAGCAGCCGCGGUAAUAC